AUUGGAAGUAAAAGUCGUAACAAGGUUUCCGUAGGUGAACCUGCGGAAGGAUCAUUAUUGAAUGAACUUGACCUGGUUGCUGCUGGUCUUUUCGAAGGCAUGUGCACACCUUGUCAUCUUUAUAUCUCAACCUGUGCACCUUUUGUAGACCUGGAUUCAACAUUCCGAGGCAACUCGGUCGUGAGGAAUUGCUUCACAGCUUUCCUUGUAAGUUUCCAGGCCUAUGUUUUUCAUAUACACCAUAAGAAUGUAACAGAAUGUCAUUAUUAGACUUCAUUGUCUUAUAAACUAUAUACAACUUUCAGCAACGGAUCUCUUGGCUCUCGCAUCGAUGAAGAACGCAGCGAAAUGCGAUAAGUAAUGUGAAUUGCAGAAUUCAGUGAAUCAUCGAAUCUUUGAACGCACCUUGCGCUCCUUGGUAUUCCGAGGAGCAUGCCUGUUUGAGUGUCAUUAAAUUCUCAACCUUUGUCAACUUUUUUGGUCGACCAAUGGCUUGGAUGUGGGGGUUUUGCAGGUUUCCCUUUCGAAAUCAGCUCCCCUGAAAUGUAUUAGCUGGUUGCGUUGUGUAGACCUGUCUAUUGGUGUGAUAAUUAUCUACGCCGUGGACUGUUUGCCAUUUUAGCACUGCUUCUAACUGUCUGUUCAUUCAGACGAUAUAUGACAAUUUGACCUCAAAUCAGGUAG
Molecule: ribosomal RNA, 684 nt
Filed under: uncultured fungus
Lineage: Eukaryota; Fungi
Description: eukaryotic LSU rRNA
Rfam family: 5.8S ribosomal RNA (bases 297-450)
Source: RNAcentral